UGUGAAAACCUUGUUUGAUAUGAUAGUUAAAUAUUGGGGUAAGAAAAAUAAUUUUAAAGAAAGAUUGUUAGUAAUUUUUAGUGAAAUUUAUUUAAUGGCUAGAGAAAAAAGUACUGUGAAGGAAAGUUAUAAAAAAUUUAGUGUAGGAGAAAUAAAGUUUUGUGCCUUGUGUAUCAGGAAAAAUCUAUAUAAUUUAAUUAUGUUAAAUGUCUCGAAAUAAGAUAAAGUAAUUUUUAUAAAAUUUUCUUUUUAUAAUAAAAGAAUUCAAUGUAAAAUUGAAAGUGAAACGCUAGUUGGGUCUUAUUAUAUCUAGUUUUUUUAAAAAUAAAUUUAAUUUGGGAUUUGUAUAAAAGUAAUAAAAAAUCUUAUGGUAAGGGGGAUUAGCUUCUUAUGGAAAAUGGUUAAAAACAGUUAAGUAAAAAAGAUAAUUAUAAAUUAGGCUUAGAAGUAGCCAUGUUAGGAAAGUGUUUUAACUAAAUUAAAAUUUUUGUAAUAUUUAUGUUAGCUUUUUGUUGGUAUAAAAAAAUUGGUUAAAUUAAAGAGGAUCAAUAUAUAAUGAUUUUAUUAGUAAAAUUUGUUAAGAAAUAAGAUAUUAAAAUAUCACAAGUUGUUUAAAAAAAUAAUAUUAAUAAAAAGGAACUCGGCAAAAUUUUUCUUUGCCUGUUUAUCAAAAACAUGUCUUUUUGAAUGGUAGAAAGAGUCCAGCCUGCCCGCUGAUAAGUUUAAGGGCCGCGGUAUUUUGACCGUGCGAAGGUAGCGUAGUCAUUAGGUUUUUAAUUGGAAUCUUGUAUGAAUGGCUAGACAAGAGAAAAUCUGUCUCUUCAUUAAAUAUUGAACUUAACUUUUGGGUGAAAAGGCUUAAAUAAAUUUAAGGGACGAUAAGACCCUAUAAAGCUUAAUAUAAAGUGUUAUUUAAUUGAAUUUAAAUAUAAAAAUUUUAUAAUGCAAUUUAUUUUAUUGGGGCGAUAAAGGUAAAAUUGUUGUUAACUGCUUUUGGCUCAGACACAUUUAUAGUUGAAAUAAAUUUAUAAAAGAUCCUAAGUAAAGAUUAAAAGUUUAAGUUACUUUAGGGAUAACAGCGUUAUUUUUUUUGAGAGUACAUAUCGAAAAAAGAGUUUGCGACCUCGAUGUUG
Molecule: ribosomal RNA, 1133 nt
Filed under: Macrophthalmus pacificus
Lineage: Eukaryota; Metazoa; Arthropoda; Malacostraca; Decapoda; Macrophthalmidae
Description: 16S ribosomal RNA
Source: RNAcentral